This 704-nucleotide ribosomal RNA is filed under the name Hippocrepinella sp. RNAcentral's name for it is "partial small subunit ribosomal RNA". The record is from RNAcentral. Lineage: Eukaryota; Foraminifera; Astrorhizida; Saccamminidae.
UUGGCUUAAUUUGACUCAACGCGGGAAAUCUUACCGGGUCCGGACACACUGAGGAUUGACAGGCAAUCUUGCGAGUUGCUGAGAGUCGCACUUUCGGGUGCUUCUCCGAGCUCUCGCAUCUAAAUAUGCUAGUCCUUUCAUGAUUAUGUGAUAGGUGGUGCAUGGCCGUUCUUAGUUCGUGGAGUGAUCUGUCUGCUUAAUUGCGUUUCGCACUGGACUUGAUAAUCAAGUGUGCUAUUUUUCUUGUGCCUCGUACACGACUUGCGCGUUAUAAAGUCGGCGUGUGUACCCCGGCCGCUCGUGGCUUGGCUGCCGCUUGCUCGCGUUGCUUCGCUCUCCUCACGGAUUGCUGUCGCUUCGUAGCUUGCGUGCGCCUCGCAACGUUGGCUUGGUGUGUAUCGCGSCUUCGAGUGUUUUGUCAGUACUUGGUGCGUUUUGGAAGGAUAUGUGCACAUUAGGUCCUGAAAGCAACGAACGUGACCGCAUCCUCUUGUUGCCUUUUAUCUAAACCAGCAUUUUAUCGCUUUUGGUGUCCGCUUGUGAGUGUAUUCCGGUUCCGCAAGGUUCUGGUCCUCGCGCGCUCGCGGCUCCAUGUUAUAAGUGGUUUUUUGCGCGUUUUAACAAAAGAGGCUCUAUUCUUCUUACCAGGGAGAAAUAAAACUAGAGGGACCGCUGCGACUUUUUCAAACCAGAGGAAGGUUGCG